GGUCAUGUGCUGGGGUCCAUGAGCUGAGCCUUCCUUCUGAGAAGAAGACCCUAUGGCCCCUUCCUUUUCACAGUGGAAUAUAUCUGUGUGUUCCUUAGAAACAGCAGUGAGAAACUAGGAAAGCUGUCUGGGAUGUGAGACUUUGGUGAAGUUUAAGUUUUAUUGCAACAAAUACGUAGCUGCAGGCACAGUAGGAGGAACCCACAGCUUUUGCAGUUUGUCUUGCAUAUGUGCCUUGGUCAACACACUUUGCAUGGGACUGACCAUCGUGUCGACAUCGGUGUACUGAAUAAAUGAAAAGGAAGACUGAGCAGACUGCAGUGAUUGAUUAGCUGAAAGAAAUCAUGGAGUGAAUAAAGGAUCACUGCAGGCUUCAAGCUGCGGUGACUGGAGACCUCUCACACUGUCAACACAAGGAAACCUUUUCCCACCCCUGGGCUCUGUAACUGAGGCCACUGCACCCUAACAUCUUUGGCGACUGUGACUAUACUUUGAGGCUCUUAAAAUCUAUUCCUGGUGAUUGGGAGGAAAAAAAAAAG
Molecule: long non-coding RNA, 539 nt
Filed under: Heterocephalus glaber (naked mole-rat)
Lineage: Eukaryota; Metazoa; Chordata; Mammalia; Rodentia; Bathyergidae
Description: lncRNA (ENSHGLG00000037058.1)
Source: RNAcentral